GACGAAUGCUGGCGGCGUGCUUAACACAUGCAAGUCGAACGGAAAGGCCCUGCUUGCAGGGUACUCGAGUGGCGAACGGGUGAGUAACACGUGGGUGAUCUGCCCUGCACUUCGGGAUAAGCCUGGGAAACUGGGUCUAAUACCGGAUAGGAGCCAUUUUUAGUGUGAUGGUUGGAAAGUUUUUUUCGGUGUAGGAUGAGCUCGCGGCCUAUCAGCUUGUUGGUGGGGUAAUGGCCUACCAAGGCGGCGACGGGUAGCCGGCCUGAGAGGGUGGACGGCCACAUUGGGACUGAGAUACGGCCCAGACUCCUACGGGAGGCAGCAGUGGGGAAUAUUGCACAAUGGGCGCAAGCCUGAUGCAGCGACGCCGCGUGGGGGAUGACGGCCUUCGGGUUGUAAACUCCUUUCGCUAGGGACGAAGCUUUUUGUGACGGUACCUAGAUAAGAAGCACCGGCUAACUACGUG
RNAcentral lists this ribosomal RNA (466 nucleotides) under uncultured bacterium. Its description in RNAcentral is "partial 16S ribosomal RNA". It matches the Rfam family "Bacterial small subunit ribosomal RNA", at positions 28 to 507 of the family's 1533-position model. The record is from RNAcentral.